This 253-nucleotide ribosomal RNA is filed under the name uncultured bacterium. Its description in RNAcentral is "partial 16S ribosomal RNA". It matches the Rfam family "Bacterial small subunit ribosomal RNA", at positions 524 to 776 of the family's 1533-position model. The record is from RNAcentral.
UACGAAGGUCCCAAGCGUUGUUCGGAAUCACUGGGCGUAAAGGGAGCGUAGGCGGCGUGGUAAGUCAGAUGUGAAAUCCCGGGGCUCAACCCCGGAACUGCAUCCGAUACUGCCAUGCUUGAGGGUUGGAGAGGUGACUGGAAUUAUCGGUGUAGCAGUGAAAUGCGUGGAUAUCGAUAGGAACACUCGUGGCGAAGGCGAGUCACUGGACAACAUCUGACGCUGAGGCUCGAAGGCUAGGGUAGCGAAAGGG